AACGAACGCUGGCGGCAGGCUUAACACAUGCAAGUCGAGCGCCCCGCAAGGGGAGCGGCCGACGGGUGAGUAACGCGUGGGAACGUACCUUUUGGUUCGGAACAACUCCGGGAAACUGGAGCUAAUACCGGAUAAGCCCUAACGGGGAAAGAUUUAUCGCCGAAAGAUCGGCCCGCGUCUGAUUAGCUAGUUGGUGAGGUAACGGCUCACCAAGGCGACGAUCAGUAGCUGGUCUGAGAGGAUGAUCAGCCACACUGGGAUUGAGACACGGCCCAGACUCCUACGGGAGGCAGCAGUGGGGAAUAUUGGACAAUGGGCGCAAGCCUGAUCCAGCCAUGCCGCGUGAGUGAUGAAGGCCUUAGGGUUGUAAAGCUCUUUUGUCCGGGAAGAUAAUGACUGUACCGGAAGAAUAAGCCCCGGCUAACUUCGUG
RNAcentral lists this ribosomal RNA (431 nucleotides) under uncultured bacterium. RNAcentral's name for it is "partial 16S ribosomal RNA". It matches the Rfam family "Bacterial small subunit ribosomal RNA", at positions 29 to 507 of the family's 1533-position model. The record is from RNAcentral.